Molecule: ribosomal RNA, 468 nt
Filed under: uncultured bacterium
Lineage: Bacteria
Description: partial 16S ribosomal RNA
Rfam family: Bacterial small subunit ribosomal RNA
Source: RNAcentral
GACGAACGCUGGCGGCGUGCUUAACACAUGCAAGUCGAACGGAAAGGCCCUGCUUUUUUGGGUUGUCCGGGUGGGAACGGGGUGAUUACCCGGUGAGUACCCUCCCCUUGCCUUUGGGUUAACUCAAGGAACCUGGGCCUAUUCCCGAUUGGAGCCUCCUGCUCCUGGGGGGGGGUUGGAAAGUUUCGGCGGUUGGGGAUGGACUCGCGGCUUAUCAGCUUGUUGGUGGGGUAGUGGCUUACCAAGGCUUUGACGGGUAGCCGGCCUGAGAGGGUGACCGGCCACAUUGGGACUGAGAUACGGCCCAGACUCCUACGGGAGGCAGCAGUGGGGAAUAUUGCACAAUGGGCGGAAGCCUGAUGCAGCAACGCCGCGUGCGGGAUGACGGCCUUCGGGUUGUAAACCGCUUUCGCCUGUGACGAAGCGUGAGUGACGGUAAUGGGUAAAGAAGCACCGGCUAACUACGUG